CUGAUUGUGAGGGGGUGUGUUGGUUGACAGCACCAUGAAACCCUGCUACCCCUGCUUUUACUUCAGGGAUUUUUCCAGGACCAGCAGGGGUUAGACACAAUUAGCUUGGUUUGGUAGGUGGUUCUUGUUAGCCUACCUCUGAAGUACUAUAUAACCUGCUGACAGGGGCUGGCUGUGGCCAUAGGAGAUCUGAGACUGGCAAGGGAGCCCACUCCAAGGCUUUCAACCCAGAUUGCAGGAUGGGGGGCAGAGGUGGAGUUUCUUACCAGCACAGAUAUUUUUAUGACCUCAGUUAUGUGCUUUUUUAAACCUUGAAAUGACUCAUCUCAACUGUGGCUGGAUUGACUUUGAGCGUUUGAGCAAUUUCUUCUGGACUGACCCAAGACAAAAGGAAACACACAGAGCCAUUGGACUCUGUGGGAGGGCUCCCGACCUGAGAGUUUCAUCAGUAAUCUGCUGGAGCAUGUGGUGAGCAAGUUUGCUUUGCAACUAAGAGUUCCUUAAGUAAAUGCUAGUGAGUAUUAUGUCAUUAUUUUUCUUGUAAUCAUUUCUGACUUUUAUGCCUCAUUACUUAUACUCACUUAAAAUCUCUCUCUUAUUGUUUCAUCUAAUCCAGUGUGUUUAAAUUGAAGUGUCUGGGUAACUAUUUAAGAUAAUCAACUGACAUAUUAUUCAUUUAACGGAAUAACAGGCAAUAUAUUUGUACUCUCCAGGAGAGGGCUGGGCAAUACAGAGCAUACAUUUCUGGGGGAAGAUUUGGGACUGAGGGUAAUGUUGGUGUCACCCUCCAGUAUAACGCAGGCUGGUGAGAGCCAGGGUAUAGCUGGCAGCCUGCAGUUACACACAGACACUCAGGGUGUGGCUUGCACCCUGGAAGGUAGUUUGUGAUGGCCUAAGUGGGAGUUACUAUGACAAGGCAUUGUAAGAUACCCAAGGUUGCAGGGCAGUAGUGACACAGCUCUCCACUCGUCUGGAUUGUGCCCUGGUAUGUCGUAGUGAAGGCUAAGAUUUUGUUACGCAUAUUUUUCGUAAAAGUCGCAGACAGGUUUCUUUAUUGCCCGUGACCUGUUUGUGACUUUUACUAAAAAAUAUGCAUGACAAAAUGGGGAGCUGAAAGCUCCCCACACCAUCCAGGCAUUCCUGGCUCGGAGCUGCAGGGUCCCCACGCCACAGGUGGCUCCCAGCUCGGGGCACCCCUGCCACCUGUGGUGGUUCUGACUCAGAGCUCUGGGCACCCCUGGCCAGCCACGGCACUCCAUGCUCCCGGGCACUCCCACCAGCUGCAAUGGCUCCAUGCUUUGGCACCCCCCACUGGCCGUGGGGCCAGGAACUGCACAGCACCCCCACUGCCCGUGGUGGCCGGGAGCUGCGGGGGGGGGGGGGGGGGGCCACAGUUCCCAGUCGCCAGGGUGGCGGGGACCCUACAGCUUCCAGGCUCCAGAGGCUCAAGUCACAGAGGUCUUUGGAAAUCAUGGAUUCCGUGACUUCUGUUACCUCCAUGUCAAAGUCGUAGCCUUAGUCAUAGUCACUCGGGGAUAUGAAAAAUCCAGACCUCUGAGCACCAUAGGUAAGCCAACCUCACCCCUGGUGUAGGCACAGCAAGAUCAUCGGAAGACUGCUUCCUUCAACCUGCUUACCAUCCCUCAUGGAGAUAGUCUUUGUGCAGCGACAGAAAAACCCUUCUGUUGUUGUAAGCUGCGUCUAUGCUACAGGGUUAUGCUGGCAUAGCUAUGCUGAUAUAGUCCUCAUAGGGUAGACAUGGCUCCAGUGAAAUUUCAGUCUGGGCUGUUAUAAUUAAACUUAAAUCACCACAAUGACAAUGUGGAAUUAUAUUAGGAACCUUGCAUUCCUCAAAGGCCCCUCCAAUGUUGGGACACACCCUUUCCCCUCAUUAAGAUUAAAAUGCAGUAAGAUUGUGUGAUGUUAUAUGAUUAAAAUAUGACCAUAUAGAGCAUUGUUGCAACCACUGUUAUAUAUUUGCAGCAAACCUUGUACAAAGGUUGUCAAGUGAGGUGUCUAUGAAAAGGUUAUGAUUUGCUGGUUAUGAUUAUGCUAUCUGUACGCAUGUAUCGUUUUUGUAUUUGAAGUUAUGGAUAUUGGCUCUAUACCUGGAUUUAAAAUGUUUGUUUCUGGGGUACUGCCCACAAGGGAGCUAGCCAGCACAUCUUGGAGGGACUAUUCAAAUUAAGUGGCUCAUCAAGAAACACUGGGUUGACAAUGGACCAUGGGAGAUGCCCAUCUACACUGAGUGGACUGUGAUGUAAACGUGCUGUCUGGAGUGUAGGUAAUGGCUUCCUGCCAUAACUGAGCGAAACUGGGCAUGCCCAUGUGACUCCAAACACCAUCUUGUUGCUGUAAUUUUCCACAGUAAGAACAAUGUGUUUCCCUCCACAUGGCAAAAGCUAUAAAAGGCCUUGGAAACACCUCCAUUUUGUCUUCAAUCCAGCUUCUUACCUCUGGAGGAACUUUACAACAAACUGAAACUCUGAACAAAGGACUGAAUGACCCAUCCAAGCUGUGGAUGUACUCCAGAGACUUGACUUAAGCCAGCAGUUUAUUCCAUCACUGCUACAAGCCUGAAGCAAGACCUUUGCCAUUACUAUAUGUAUUUGAUUCUUUUAACUAACGUUAACUCUCACCUUUCUUUCUUUCUUUUCAUAAA
Molecule: long non-coding RNA, 2662 nt
Organism: Malaclemys terrapin pileata
Lineage: Eukaryota; Metazoa; Chordata; Testudines; Emydidae
Exons: 3
Source: RefSeq, a predicted model, not a curated record